UACGUAGGGUGCAAGCGUUGUCCGGAAUUAUUGGGCGUAAAGAGCUCGUAGGCGGUUCGGCAAGUCAGCUGUGAAAUCUCCACGCUCAACGUGGAGGGGUCAGCUGAUACUGCUGUGACUUGAGUCCGGUAGGGGAGUGUGGAAUUCCCGGUGUAGCGGUGAAAUGCGCAGAUAUCGGGAGGAACACCAGUAGCGAAGGCGGCACUCUGGGCCGGUACUGACGCUGAGGAGCGAAAGCGUGGGGAGCAAACAGG
This 254-nucleotide ribosomal RNA is filed under the name uncultured bacterium. Its description in RNAcentral is "partial 16S ribosomal RNA". It matches the Rfam family "Bacterial small subunit ribosomal RNA", at positions 524 to 776 of the family's 1533-position model. The record is from RNAcentral.